GAUCACUGCAAACCUCUGGAAAACCAGAUCCAGGACUGGAGAAAGUAAAGAAGAGUUCCUAUGAGGAAGGAGGCUGAUACAAACAGCAACUACAGAAAAUGACUUGCACUGGACCCUGCGGUGGGUGCAUGCCUGCACCCCAGGCCGUGUCCUUCGGAAGAAAUCCAGGAAGCCCGAGGCCAGAGCGCAGAAUGUACCUGUAUGAUUCUGCAAAUCCCACAGAUCCUAUGGGCAGUUGCUCCAUUACAUUCUGCGGCACAGAAGAGUCUCCCAAUUCCUCAUGGCACCCAGGCCUUAAACAGCCUGUGGGUGGCUUUUGUUUGGGCCAUGGGCUCUUUGAAAAUGUGACUCAAUCAGCAUCGCCUCCUCUGGGAACCUGCUUCACCUCCAGAACAGGCCAGGCUGCCUUAUACCCACAGCACCCCUGUCUCUCCGUGGUGUCGCCGCCUCUGUAAAGGGGCUUCCCUGGUGGCGCAGUGGUUAAGAAUCCGCCUGCCAAUGCAGGAGACACGGGUUCGAGCCCUGAUCCGGGAAGAUCCCAUACACUGCAGAGCAACUAAGCCCGUGCGCCACAACUACUGAGCCUGCGCUCUAGAGCCCGCGAGCCACAACUACUGAGCCCGCGUGCCACAACUACUGAAGCCCGCACGCCUACAGCCCAUGCUGCGCAACAAGAGAAGCCACAGCAAUGAGAAAGCCGCACACCGCAACGAAGAGCAGCCCCCGCUCACCCCAACUAGAGAAAGCCCGUGAGCAGCAACAAAGAC
This is a long non-coding RNA of Balaenoptera ricei (Rice's whale), 767 nucleotides long. RefSeq lists it as uncharacterized. Lineage: Eukaryota; Metazoa; Chordata; Mammalia; Artiodactyla; Balaenopteridae. The record is from RefSeq and is a predicted model, not a curated record. The transcript has 5 exons.